Molecule: ribosomal RNA, 2902 nt
Filed under: Escherichia coli DEC6B
Lineage: Bacteria; Pseudomonadati; Pseudomonadota; Gammaproteobacteria; Enterobacterales; Enterobacteriaceae
Description: 23S ribosomal RNA
Source: RNAcentral
AAGGUUAAGCCUCACGGUUCAUUAGUACCGGUUAGCUCAACGCAUCGCUGCGCUUACACACCCGGCCUAUCAACGUCGUCGUCUUCAACGUUCCUUCAGGACCCUUAAAGGGUCAGGGAGAACUCAUCUCGGGGCAAGUUUCGUGCUUAGAUGCUUUCAGCACUUAUCUCUUCCGCAUUUAGCUACCGGGCAGUGCCAUUGGCAUGACAACCCGAACACCAGUGAUGCGUCCACUCCGGUCCUCUCGUACUAGGAGCAGCCCCCCUCAGUUCUCCAGCGCCCACGGCAGAUAGGGACCGAACUGUCUCACGACGUUCUAAACCCAGCUCGCGUACCACUUUAAAUGGCGAACAGCCAUACCCUUGGGACCUACUUCAGCCCCAGGAUGUGAUGAGCCGACAUCGAGGUGCCAAACACCGCCGUCGAUAUGAACUCUUGGGCGGUAUCAGCCUGUUAUCCCCGGAGUACCUUUUAUCCGUUGAGCGAUGGCCCUUCCAUUCAGAACCACCGGAUCACUAUGACCUGCUUUCGCACCUGCUCGCGCCGUCACGCUCGCAGUCAAGCUGGCUUAUGCCAUUGCACUAACCUCCUGAUGUCCGACCAGGAUUAGCCAACCUUCGUGCUCCUCCGUUACUCUUUAGGAGGAGACCGCCCCAGUCAAACUACCCACCAGACACUGUCCGCAACCCGGAUUACGGGUCAACGUUAGAACAUCAAACAUUAAAGGGUGGUAUUUCAAGGUCGGCUCCAUGCAGACUGGCGUCCACACUUCUAAGCCUCCCACCUAUCCUACACAUCAAGGCUCAAUGUUCAGUGUCAAGCUAUAGUAAAGGUUCACGGGGUCUUUCCGUCUUGCCGCGGGUACACUGCAUCUUCACAGCGAGUUCAAUUUCACUGAGUCUCGGGUGGAGACAGCCUGGCCAUCAUUACGCCAUUCGUGCAGGUCGGAACUUACCCGACAAGGAAUUUCGCUACCUUAGGACCGUUAUAGUUACGGCCGCCGUUUACCGGGGCUUCGAUCAAGAGCUUCGCUUGCGCUAACCCCAUCAAUUAACCUUCCGGCACCGGGCAGGCGUCACACCGUAUACGUCCACUUUCGUGUUUGCACAGUGCUGUGUUUUUAAUAAACAGUUGCAGCCAGCUGGUAUCUUCGACUGAUUUCAGCUCCAUCCGCGAGGGACCUCACCUACAUAUCAGCGUGCCUUCUCCCGAAGUUACGGCACCAUUUUGCCUAGUUCCUUCACCCGAGUUCUCUCAAGCGCCUUGGUAUUCUCUACCUGACCACCUGUGUCGGUUUGGGGUACGAUUUGAUGUUACCUGAUGCUUAGAGGCUUUUCCUGGAAGCAGGGCAUUUGUUGCUUCAGCACCGUAGUGCCUCGUCAUCACGCCUCAGCCUUGAUUUUCCGGAUUUGCCUGGAAAACCAGCCUACACGCUUAAACCGGGACAACCGUCGCCCGGCCAACAUAGCCUUCUCCGUCCCCCCUUCGCAGUAACACCAAGUACAGGAAUAUUAACCUGUUUCCCAUCGACUACGCCUUUCGGCCUCGCCUUAGGGGUCGACUCACCCUGCCCCGAUUAACGUUGGACAGGAACCCUUGGUCUUCCGGCGAGCGGGCUUUUCACCCGCUUUAUCGUUACUUAUGUCAGCAUUCGCACUUCUGAUACCUCCAGCAUACCUCACAGUACACCUUCACAGGCUUACAGAACGCUCCCCUACCCAACAACACAUAGUGUCGCUGCCGCAGCUUCGGUGCAUGGUUUAGCCCCGUUACAUCUUCCGCGCAGGCCGACUCGACCAGUGAGCUAUUACGCUUUCUUUAAAUGAUGGCUGCUUCUAAGCCAACAUCCUGGCUGUCUGGGCCUUCCCACAUCGUUUCCCACUUAACCAUGACUUUGGGACCUUAGCUGGCGGUCUGGGUUGUUUCCCUCUUCACGACGGACGUUAGCACCCGCCGUGUGUCUCCCGUGAUAACAUUCUCCGGUAUUCGCAGUUUGCAUCGGGUUGGUAAGUCGGGAUGACCCCCUUGCCGAAACAGUGCUCUACCCCCGGAGAUGAAUUCACGAGGCGCUACCUAAAUAGCUUUCGGGGAGAACCAGCUAUCUCCCGGUUUGAUUGGCCUUUCACCCCCAGCCACAAGUCAUCCGCUAAUUUUUCAACAUUAGUCGGUUCGGUCCUCCAGUUAGUGUUACCCAACCUUCAACCUGCCCAUGGCUAGAUCACCGGGUUUCGGGUCUAUACCCUGCAACUUAACGCCCAGUUAAGACUCGGUUUCCCUUCGGCUCCCCUAUUCGGUUAACCUUGCUACAGAAUAUAAGUCGCUGACCCAUUAUACAAAAGGUACGCAGUCACACGCCUAAGCGUGCUCCCACUGCUUGUACGUACACGGUUUCAGGUUCUUUUUCACUCCCCUCGCCGGGGUUCUUUUCGCCUUUCCCUCACGGUACUGGUUCACUAUCGGUCAGUCAGGAGUAUUUAGCCUUGGAGGAUGGUCCCCCCAUAUUCAGACAGGAUACCACGUGUCCCGCCCUACUCAUCGAGCUCACAGCAUGUGCAUUUUUGUGUACGGGGCUGUCACCCUGUAUCGCGCGCCUUUCCAGACGCUUCCACUAACACACACACUGAUUCAGGCUCUGGGCUGCUCCCCGUUCGCUCGCCGCUACUGGGGGAAUCUCGGUUGAUUUCUUUUCCUCGGGGUACUUAGAUGUUUCAGUUCCCCCCGGUUCGCCUCAUUAACCUAUGGAUUCAGUUAAUGAUAGUGUGUCGAAACACACUGGGUUUCCCCAUUCGGAAAUCGCCGGUUAUAACGGUUCAUAUCACCUUACCGACGCUUAUCGCAGAUUAGCACGUCCUUCAUCGCCUCUGACUGCCAGGGCAUCCACCGUGUACGCUUAGUCGCUUAA